ACAAGAAUAACACUCUUUAUUCUGUCAUAAAUGGGCCAACAGAACUUAGUCAAUCUACCACUCAUUUAUAUACAAGUACAUGAUGUAUACAUGAAAACUCAGCAAUAUAUUAGGAGCCUGAGGAGGCACAGAGAAAAAGAUAAAGGGCAGUAACUCUGUCAACAGAAAGAGAGGCCAGAACAAAACUGAUAUUUAAUUUUUAGUUCAUGAUAGCCGAAAUCGUAUCAAAAAUCUAGAUAAGUAACAUUUUAAAAGCACAGUCCAUCCAUCAACCAGAAAGAAUUACAAAACUUUGAUAUAUAUAUGCAAAAUCAUAAUUUAACUGCAGAAAAAGACCAGCUUAAUAUCUGCAGCUAUAUUGAAAGUUUCAGUUAAUAUAUUUGAGAAAGGAGAUUGUAGAAGACUCUCUCAGGCAUUAUAGCUAAAUCCUUGGCUUUUUAAUUGAAACUUGAAUACGAUUUAUUAGUUUUUAUUAAUGUCAUUUUCUCAAAUUUUCCUUUAAUCUUUUAUUUGUAUAAUAAUUUUCCAUCUCACUAAUCAAGUGAUAAAGGUUUUGCUCAGACGAGUAGAGAAAGGCUUAUGCCAUUAUAAGUCUACGUCUUUGACAUUGCCUAGAUAAAAAGUGAUAAACAGAUUAUUAAUGGUCUUUCAAAAAUUCAAACUUAAGGAUACUUAUCAGCUCCAUCCCAACUCAAGGCUAUCAAUGAGAUUGCAGCAUUAAAAACUCUGUGCAUAAGAAUAAAUCUCUACUGUUUCGAACUUCCGAACAAGAAGUGACAACAGCAACUCACACUGGACUUUGGUUCAGGUAUGAUGAUAAGGAGGGCAAAUUGUG
This 835-nucleotide long non-coding RNA is filed under the name Mytilus galloprovincialis (Mediterranean mussel). Lineage: Eukaryota; Metazoa; Mollusca; Bivalvia; Mytilida; Mytilidae. The record is from RNAcentral.